GAUGAACGCUGGCGGCGUGCCUAAUACAUGCAAGUCGAGCGAACAGACGAGGAGCUUGCUCCUCUGACGUUAGCGGCGGACGGGUGAGUAACACGUGGAUAACCUACCUAUAAGACUGGGAUAACUUCGGGAAACCGGAGCUAAUACCGGAUAAUAUAUUGAACCGCAUGGUUCAAUAGUGAAAGACGGUUUUGCUGUCACUUAUAGAUGGAUCCGCGCCGCAUUAGCUAGUUGGUAAGGUAACGGCUUACCAAGGCAACGAUGCGUAGCCGACCUGAGAGGGUGAUCGGCCACACUGGAACUGAGACACGGUCCAGACUCCUACGGGAGGCAGCAGUAGGGAAACUUCCGCAAUGGGCGAAAGCUUGACGGAGCAACGCCGCGUGAGUGAUGAAGGUCUUCGGAUCGUAAAACUCUGUUAUUAGGGAAGAACAAAUGUGUAAGUAACUAUGCACGUCUUGACGGUACCUAAUCAGAAAGCCACGGCUAACUACGU
Molecule: ribosomal RNA, 496 nt
Filed under: uncultured bacterium
Lineage: Bacteria
Description: partial 16S ribosomal RNA
Rfam family: Bacterial small subunit ribosomal RNA
Source: RNAcentral